AGAGUUUGAUCCUGGCUCAGAACGAACGCUGGCGGCAGGCUUAACACAUGCAAGUCGAGCGCCCCGCAAGGGGAGCGGCAGACGGGUGAGUAACGCGUGGGAACGUACCUUUUGCUACGGAAUAACUCAGGGAAACUUGUGCUAAUACCGUAUGUGCCCUUCGGGGGAAAGAUUUAUCGGCAAAGGAUCGGCCCGCGUUGGAUUAGCUAGUUGGUGAGGUAAAGGCUCACCAAGGCGACGAUCCAUAGCUGGUCUGAGAGGAUGAUCAGCCACACUGGGACUGAGACACGGCCCAGACUCCUACGGGAGGCAGCAGUGGGGAAUAUUGGACAAUGGGCGCAAGCCUGAUCCAGCCAUGCCGCGUGAGUGAUGAAGGCCCUAGGGUUGUAAAGCUCUUUCACCGGUGAAGAUAAUGACGGUAACCGGAGAAGAAGCCCCGGCUAACUUCGUGCCAGCAGCCGCGGUAAUACGAAGGGGGCUAGCGUUGUUCGGAUUUACUGGGCGUAAAGCGCACGUAGGCGGACUUUUAAGUCAGGGGUGAAAUCCCGGGGCUCAACCCCGGAACUGCCUUUGAUACUGGAAGUCUUGAGUAUGGUAGAGGUGAGUGGAAUUCCGAGUGUAGAGGUGAAAUUCGUAGAUAUUCGGAGGAACACCAGUGGCGAAGGCGGCUCACUGGACCAUUACUGACGCUGAGGUGCGA
This 700-nucleotide ribosomal RNA is filed under the name uncultured Alphaproteobacteria bacterium. RNAcentral describes it as "bacterial SSU rRNA". It matches the Rfam family "Bacterial small subunit ribosomal RNA", at positions 8 to 756 of the family's 1533-position model. Lineage: Bacteria; Pseudomonadati; Pseudomonadota; Alphaproteobacteria. The record is from RNAcentral.